This 4615-nucleotide long non-coding RNA is filed under the name Lathyrus oleraceus (garden pea). RNAcentral describes it as "Pisum sativum (pea) long non-coding RNA (PSAT_LNC037577)". The stretch from base 1765 to 1851 matches the Rfam family "tRNA". Lineage: Eukaryota; Viridiplantae; Streptophyta; Magnoliopsida; Fabales; Fabaceae. The record is from RNAcentral.
UAAUGUAUAUUAUUCCUCGAAUUGCUCGUUGAGAGGUAUAAAGGAUUAAAUCCCUUUAAGUAAGAAAUACAGUUUUUGAUCGUGAUAUGAAUCACGCAAGGGACCCCUUAACUAUUCAGGAUCAAUAAUUCUAAAUUGUAUACAAAUUACGAUAAUGUAUAUUAUUCCUCGAAUUGCUCGUUGAGAGGUAUAAAGGAUUAAAUCCCUUUAAGUAAGAAAUACAGUUUUUGAUCGUGAUAUGAAUCACGCAAGGGAACCCUUAACUAUUCAGGAUCAAUAGAACGAAUCGCACUUUUACCACUAAACUAUACCCGCUACAAUACCAUUAUUGUAUAUAAAACGAUCUUUUGUCCAACAAGGGAAUCAGUCAUAAUUAUGAAAUAGGAGCAUAAUUUUAUGAGAAAUAGAGUGUUUCCAUGUUUCGUAAAGGGCCCCCUAAUGAAAUUUAGAAAAGGGGGCAAAUCUCAUUUUUGGAUUUUGUUGAAGGUAUUUUGACAGAUAGAUCUCGACAAAAAUACUAAACUAAAUUCAUAACACAAAAAUACAUUAUGCAAGCAAGAAUCCAUAGUUCUAUUUCUUUUUUUAGAUACGUUACCUGAUUCAUUCGUAGGAUAUACGAUCACAAAGUGAUUUUUAUUUUUGUUCGAUCAUAUUUAAAUGUUUGAAUUAAUUACAAGUUUCAAAUCUGAUACAGAAAAAUAAAUCAUUGUUAUCCAGGAUUCAUGGGAAAAAAGAGCUGUGCCAGUACCUAGCUGGACUCUGGUUGGAUAAAAAUAAAGGGCCCCCUAAUGAAAUUUAGAAAAGGGGGCAAAUCUCAUUUUUGGAUUUUGUUGAAGGUAUUUUGACAGAUAGAUCUCGACAAAAUUACUAAACUAAAUUCAUAACACAAAAAUACAUUAUGUAAGCAAGAAUCCAUAGUUCUAUUUCUUUUUUUAGAUACGUUACCUGAUUCAUUCGUAGGAUAUACGAUCACAAAGUGAUUUUUAUUUUUGUUUGAUCAUAUUUAAAUGUUUGAAUUAAUUACAAGUUUCGAAUCUGAUACAGAAAAAUAAAUCAUUGUUAUCCAGGAUUCAUGGGAAAAAAGAGCUGUGCCAGUACCUAGCUGGACUCUGGUUGGAUAAAAAAACAAACUAAAAAAGAAAAUCUAAAAUUAUAGAUUUAGAAUAUCUAUUUAGUAUAUAUAGAAUGAAUAUAUAUUUGAAUCUAUAUUUAUGAGUUAAUAUAGAAUUAUGAAUAGUAAUGAAAUAAAAUUAUAAUCAAAUAGAAAAAAAAAAAAAGAUAGAUAAGAUAUAUCAAAUGAAGAUCAAUAUCAAAUAAGAUAUAUAGAAGGCUUUUUUCGAGCCCUAUUGUUUGAUCAUAUUUAAAUGUUUGAAUUAAUUACAAGUUUCAAAUCUGAUACAGAAAAAUAAAUCAUUGUUAUCCAGGAUUCAUGGGAAAAAAGAGCUGUGCCAGUACCUAGCUGGACUCUGGUUGUAUAAAAAAACAAACUAAAAAAGAAAAUCUAAAAUUAUAGAUUUAGAUUAUCUAUUUAGUAUAUAUAGAAUGAAUAUAUAUUUGAAUCUAUAUUUAUGAGUUAAUAUAGAAUUAUGAAUAGUAAUGAAAAAAAAUUAUAAUCAAAUAGAAAAAAAAAAAAGAUAGAUAAGAUAUAUCAAAUGAAGAUCAAUAUCAAAUAAGAUAUAUAGAAGGCUUUUUUCGAGCCCUACUUUUUGUUCUUUUUGUUUAUGCGAGGUAUCAUGAGCAUAAUCAUUCCAUUUUUUGAAUUGGGGAGAGAUGGCUGAGUGGACUAAAGCGUCGGAUUGCUAAUCCGUUGUACGCAUUUUUGUACCGAGGGUUCGAAUCCCUCUCUUUCCGUUUAUUGAUGAUUUGACAUUUUUUUCUUUUGAACUUAUGGAAUUUCUUUUUUUUUUUUAUUAUUAUUCCCUGUUUCUUUCAUUUUUAACUAGUUCUUUUUGAAAAAUAGAUAGAAAAACGAAAAAUAUUUCAAAAUCCAGGACAUUUUUUUUUAUUAUUAUUCCCUGUUUCUUUCAUUUUUAACUAGUUCUUUUUGAAAAAUAGAUAGAAAAACGAAAAAUAUUUCAAAAUCCAGGACAAGUAAGGAAAAGAAAAAAGAUUUUCUUAUUCUUCAUGUCCAGGAUUACGUCCCGGAUCAUUAGAUAGGAAUCCGAAGAUGAAAAGAGAAACAAAGAAUAUCACUAUCGUGUAAACAAAUAGUUUUAGAGUAAGCAUUACAAAAUCUCCAAGAUAAUUAAAAAAACGACAGAGAAAGAGAAUAGAUUCUCUUCUAUUUCAUAUUAUGUUUCCUUUGAGACUCAGUUUAUAAGAAAUGAAUUCGAAAUUAUUAGCUGGGAUGGUUGGGUUUACUAUACUAGAACUAGGUUCUUCGUUGGAUGGUUGGGCGAAGUCCUUAAGAGGUUUUUGGUUUUGAUCUUCGGCCAUAGCUCUCCUAAUUCUAUGGAAAAAUAAACGUGCGCGAGCGUAACGUUUAGGUUCCGCCAGAGAAUAUACUAAGCUUCUGGUGCUGCGAGUCCUUCGCAUUGACCGAUAGGUAAUAACCUAAGUCUAAACGAUAUAACAACAGGGUACGAAAUUUGACGAAAUUGGUCCCCGACAACGGCGCCAAAAACUUGAUGCGUUAUUUUUCGCAAGUAUACGAACGUGUCAGAGUAAUAUAAAAGAUUGUCGAAUCCACAGAGACCAAGUGUCAAUCUAUCGUUAUCUAUUGUUAUGGUGUUUAUCUAAGGUAAUCUAAAUAGGGUUUUUAAGAGUGCACAAUGAAAAUAAAUUAUUAAAUUAAAUUCGAUUGAUAAAGACAGGUUCGAAUGUAAUUCACAUAAUCAAUUAAUAAUCCAAGUACUUGCUAAUAGAAUUACUUAUGGGCAGUGUUUCCUACUUUGAAAAGAACCAAUUUAAUGGGAACUGCUCGUUUGCGUAUUCCAGACCGAGAGUUGUACCUCGGCCUAAUCCAACCCGUCUUGAUGGUCACUUAUAAAAGGCGCGCAUUGCGUUAGAGUAGUAAACCUAUUUUUAAGAAAUAUAGUGUCUUGACUAAGUUGAAAAGUAUUUUGACCUGGAUUUCUUAACCAAAAGAGGUUCUCACGAACCAGACUCUAAACUUAUAAACACGUCCGAAAAUAGUUUUAAAAUCACUUUUCAUUUUAAGUUAAAAACUCCUAAUGAACUAAACAAAGCGCUUUCGCUGUAUUUGAAAUGGUUAAAAACAACUAAGUUUAAACAGACGUCGGACGGCUUUCGAUCUUACCCAACGAAAAUUAAGUGUGGAAAACUUAAGUUGAAAGUCAAAAUAACCCUUAAGUGUUUCUAUGAACAAUUAUACGGAUUAUCGGUUCAAUUACGAUCCUUACAUUCUAACCUUUAUAGGUUUAGCUAGACAUGGUAAAGUAAAGAUGCAUUUUAAUUUAAAUAAAAGUAGUGCGAGUGCGGGAAAUUAAAUAAAAGUAGUGCGGUGCAAGAAGUAAAUAAAAGUAGUGCAGUGCGGAAAGUAAACAAAGUAAAGGCAGUGCGGGAAAUAAAUAAAGUAAAGUGCGAGUGCGGGAGAGUAAACAAAGUAAAGGCAGUGCGGGAAAUAAAUAAAGUAAAGUACGAGUGCAGGAAAUUAAAGUAGACAAAGGUAAAGCAAUAAAACCUGCUCCAAUCGGAGGGUCGAAUAAAGUGCGUAACAGAAAUAAAAAUGGCGGCAAGAUUAACUUCCUUCCAAAGUGCUCCAAACUCGAUUACAGACUCGAUUACACAGUUGUGGCAACACUCCGAUGUAAAACGAUUACCACUUUUACACAAUACUGAUAUAUGCCUAGUUGUAACUAAGUUUGGAUGAAGAAACAAAUGAAAUCAAAUCUCUAUUCAUAGGCAAGGAAAAUAAAGGAAAUGACAAGGAUGCCCCUAAGUUUGAAAUUGGGAGGGAAACAUCUUUGUUCUUGUGGCGCACGCCACCACAUUAUGGCGCCCGCCAUAGGAGUAAAUUGUGGCGCCCAAGUGGAGAUAGUGGGAGAUGUGGCAGUUAAGGAGAAGUUGAAUUGGGACACGUCAUGGCUGGACCUAUGGCGCCAGCCACAGUGGGAGCCACAAGUGUAAAAUUCUGAUUUUUAGGCUUUUUAGCUCAUUUUCACUCCUUUUCUCUAUCGGGGCUCCGAUUAGACUGAAAACCUGAAAACAAAGAAAAACAUAGUAAAAACAUAACAAAAUAACAAUAAAACAACUAAAAUGCAUGCGAAAUCGGAGUCGAAAAUACGGUGAAUUUCAGUGUCAUCAAUAGGCCCAUGUAAUGAUUCAUUCAGGUCCAAAAUCAUGUGUAAGCAAUGCCGAAGUCAUGCUAACAAGCCAUGCAUUCGUGUAUGGAAAAUGGAAGUUCAAUUAUGCCAAAUAGGGAUCCAACUUUAAGCCAUGCGUAAGUCACUCAUACUAUGUCCAAAUGGGAUGAAUUUGGACUUUUUGGAAAGGUUAGGUCUAAAGUAACAACUUUCAUGUUGGACACUUUUUCAUUUUAAGCUUGGGUCAUUAUUAAUUUUGAUGUGGAAGUUUGGAAAAUCAAACAUAUCAAAAACAAUUCUAAGCACCAAGCCAUAUGUUCACUUCUUCCACCUUGGAUAGCUUUUUCUAU